GAUGAACGCUAGCGGCAGGCCUAACACAUGCAAGUCGAGGGGCAUCGCGGUGCAGCAAUGCACUGGCGGCGACCGGCGUACGGGUGCGUAACGCGUAUGCAACCUGCCCCGCACCGGGGGAUAGCCCGCCGAAAGGCGGAUUAAUACCCCAUGGCCCCGGGGGCCCGCAUGGGCAUCCGGGUAAAGCCUUGGCGGUGCGGGAUGGGCAUGCGUGCCAUUAGCUGGCUGGUGGGGUAACGGCCCACCAGGGCAACGAUGGCUAGGGGGUCUGAAAGGAUGGUCCCCCCACACUGGUACUGAGACACGGACCAGACUCCUACGGGAGGCAGCAGUGAGGAAUAUUGGUCAAUGGGCGGAAGCCUGAACCAGCCAUGCCGCGUGCGGGAUGAAGGCCCUACGGGUUGUAAACCGCUUUUCCCCGGGAAGAAUAAGCCCCCCGCGGGGGGUGAUGCCGGUACCGGGGGAAUAAGGAUCGGCUAACUCCGUG
Molecule: ribosomal RNA, 487 nt
Filed under: uncultured bacterium
Lineage: Bacteria
Description: partial 16S ribosomal RNA
Rfam family: Bacterial small subunit ribosomal RNA
Source: RNAcentral